Molecule: ribosomal RNA, 253 nt
Filed under: uncultured bacterium
Lineage: Bacteria
Description: partial 16S ribosomal RNA
Rfam family: Bacterial small subunit ribosomal RNA
Source: RNAcentral
GACAGAGGCCACGAACGUUGUUCGGAAUCACUGGGCAUAAAGCGCACGUAGGCGGCUGGGUCCGUCCGAUGUGAAAGCCCCCGGCUCAACCGGGGAAUUGCAUCGGAUACAGCCCGGCUUGAGGACGGUUGGGGUGAGUGGAACUCCUGGUGGAGCGGUGAAAUGCGUAGAUAUCGGGAGGAACACCAGUGGCGAAGGCGACUACCUGGCCUGUUCUUGACGCUGAGGCGCGAAAGCUAGGGGAGCAAACGGG